UACGUAGGGUGCAAGCGUUGUCCGGAAUUAUUGGGCGUAAAGAGCGUGUAGGCGGCCCGAUUAGUCCGCUGUGAAAGUCCAGGGCUCAACCCUGGAAUGCCGGUGGAUACUGUCGGGCUAGAGUCCGGAAGGGGCGAGUGGAAUUCCUGGUGUAGCGGUGAAAUGCGCAGAUAUCAGGAGGAACACCAAUGGCGAAGGCAGCUCGCUGGGACGUGACUGACGCUGAGACGCGAAUGCGUGGGGAGCGAACAGG
RNAcentral lists this ribosomal RNA (253 nucleotides) under uncultured bacterium. RNAcentral's name for it is "partial 16S ribosomal RNA". It matches the Rfam family "Bacterial small subunit ribosomal RNA", at positions 524 to 776 of the family's 1533-position model. The record is from RNAcentral.